RNAcentral lists this long non-coding RNA (398 nucleotides) under Elaeis guineensis (African oil palm). RNAcentral's name for it is "long non-coding RNA (EGUI_LNC039377)". The record is from RNAcentral. Lineage: Eukaryota; Viridiplantae; Streptophyta; Magnoliopsida; Arecales; Arecaceae.
AAGCUGCACACGUAUUCAGCCUUUAUAGAUAUCCAUAUGAGGCUGAUCUAAUCAGGAAAUCCCGAUCUCAAUGGCGUGCUAGCUCUCUUGCAGAGAUCGCUCCUUAGAUUGUCGAAUCUUUUCUCCUUUUUGAUUAUCUUUUCAAAGAAACCAAAGAGAUCUAUAGGAGGAGUAAGAAAUCAGAUCUAAUCUAAUUUCUUUUUCUCUUUUCUCUUCUCAAGAGAAAUGAAAGAAGAUCUAAAGAAGGAGGAAAAAGAUGAGAGAUCAAAUCUCUCUUCUUUCUUUUUCAUCUAACUCUUGGAUUAAAUCUGGAGGAGGAGAUGAAAAAGGCAUCCAACUCUUAGACCAAGAGGAAGUAAGAGAAGGCAUCCAUCUCAUGGACAUAGGAAGAGAGAAAG